AGGACUAACGCUGGCGGCGUGCCUAACACAUGCAAGUCGAACGAGGGGUAGCAAUACCCCUAGUGGCAGACGGGUGAGUAACACGUAGUCAACCUACCUCUUAAUGGGGGAUAACUAGCCGAAAGGUUAGCUAAUACCGCAUACGAUCGUCGAGUGGCAUCACACGACGAUGAAAGGAGCAAUCCGUUGAGAGAGGGGACUGCGUCCCAUUAGUUAGUUGGUGGGGUAAUGGCCUACCAAGACUCCGAUGGGUAGCUGGCUUGAGAGAGCGACCAGCCACACUGGAACUGAGACACGGUCCAGACUCCUACGGGAGGCAGCAGUGAGGAAUUUUUCCGCAAUGGGGGAAACCCUGACGGAGCGACGCCGCGUGUGGGAAGAAGGCCUUGGGUCGUAACCACUGUCGAGGGGACGAUAUUGACGGUACCCCUGGAGGAAGCCCCGGCUAACUACGCGCCAGCAGCCGC
RNAcentral lists this ribosomal RNA (467 nucleotides) under uncultured bacterium. RNAcentral describes it as "SSU rRNA". It matches the Rfam family "Bacterial small subunit ribosomal RNA", at positions 26 to 518 of the family's 1533-position model. The record is from RNAcentral.